RNAcentral lists this ribosomal RNA (253 nucleotides) under uncultured bacterium. Its description in RNAcentral is "partial 16S ribosomal RNA". It matches the Rfam family "Bacterial small subunit ribosomal RNA", at positions 524 to 776 of the family's 1533-position model. The record is from RNAcentral.
UACGUAGGGUGCAAGCGUUGUCCGGAAUUAUUGGGCGUAAAGAGCUCGUAGGCGGUUAGUCGCGUCUGCUGUGAAAACUCGGGGCUUAACUCCGGGCCUGCAGUGGGUACGGGCUGACUAGAGUGCGGUAGGGGAGGCUGGAAUUCCUGGUGUAGCGGUGAAAUGCGCAGAUAUCAGGAGGAACACCGGUGGCGAAGGCGGGUCUCUGGGCCGUAACUGACGCUGAGGAGCGAAAGCGUGGGGAGCGAACAGG